UAAAACUCACUACAAAAGUGCCCAAUUUUUUUUUUCUUUUUGAAAACCUUGAUCCCAAGGUAUGCCAAAUCCGCCAAAAAUAUAGAGAGUUCACUGUUCGCACAGACAGAGUUUCCCCUAUAUUUGCACGGCGUCGCACAAGUACAAGAUACAACCACACACAUAUGAAUAUCCAUAUAUAUUCACCAUUCACAUCCGCAUUCAUUUCAUCACAAAUAUUCAUAUAUCCACAUCUAUUAGUUUAAAAUGUUUCCUAUCUGGAAACUCAUUUUGAAACACUAAGUCAUAAAAAUCAAGAAAACCUUUUUAAAACCCUUUCCCACCUGAAAACCUUUUUCUUUUAAAAACGCGCCACCACGAGGGAUAGAAAAUCAUUUCCAUUUCGUAAGAAAUCCAUAAAUCCUUUAUUACAUUCACAAAAUCCCAAUUAUUCAAAUAAAGAAAACCACUGAAUCAAUAAGUCUAAGUUAAUUAUUUAAAAGACGAGUUUGAGAAUUUAACCAAAGCUACGGGCCGAUGGAUCUAUCGAAUG
Molecule: long non-coding RNA, 532 nt
Filed under: Ananas comosus (pineapple)
Lineage: Eukaryota; Viridiplantae; Streptophyta; Magnoliopsida; Poales; Bromeliaceae
Description: long non-coding RNA (ACOM_LNC024104)
Source: RNAcentral